AUAAGAGACCCAUACAAACAUUAA
Molecule: small RNA, 24 nt
Filed under: Arabidopsis thaliana (thale cress)
Lineage: Eukaryota; Viridiplantae; Streptophyta; Magnoliopsida; Brassicales; Brassicaceae
Description: ATSL051750
Source: RNAcentral